This 394-nucleotide ribosomal RNA is filed under the name uncultured bacterium. Its description in RNAcentral is "partial 16S ribosomal RNA". It matches the Rfam family "Bacterial small subunit ribosomal RNA", at positions 523 to 918 of the family's 1533-position model. The record is from RNAcentral.
AUACGUAGGGGACGAGCGUUGUCCGGAAUUACUGGGCGUAAAGGGCGCGCAGGCGGAUAUUUAAGUCAGCUGUAAAAGGCAUGAGCUCAACUCAUGUAUGCGGUUGAAACUGGGUAUCUAGAGUGCUGGAGAGGUAGGCGGAAUUACCGGUGUAGCGGUGAAAUGCGUAGAUAUCAGGAAGAAUACCAGUGGCGAAGGCGGUUUGCUGGCUGCAUACUGACGCUGAAGCGCGAAAGCCAGGGGAGCAAACGGGAUUAGAUACCCCGGUAGUCCUGGCAGUAAACGAUGUAUGCUGGGUGUGAGACUAGCGAUAGUUUCGUGCCGAAGUUAACGCGAUAAGCAUACCGCCUGGGGAGUACGGUCGCAAGAUUGAAACUCAAAGGAAUUGACGGGG